UGCGAGCUUAAGGUCUUAAGGACUGGAGGCGUAGCGAGAGCGAGUCUGAACAGGGCGUUCAGUAGCAUGCAAUGGGCCCGAAACCGGGUGACCUACCCAUGAUCAGGCUGAAGUGAAAGUAAAAUUUCAUGGAGGGCCGAACCGACCUCCGUUGAAAAGGCGGCGGAUGAAUUGUGGGUAGCGGAGAAAUUCCAAUCGAACUCGGAGAUAGCUGGUUCUCCCCGAAAUAGCUUUAGGGCUAGCCUCAUAUUAGAUACCCGGAGGUAAAGCACUGAAUGGCCUAGCGCCCGAGAGGGUAGCGAAGCCUAUCAAACUAAGAAUGCCGGAGUAUUGAUGUAUGGGAGUCAGACAGUGUGAGAUAAAUCUCAUUGUCAAAAGGGAAACAGCCCAGAUCUACAGCUAAGGUCCCAAAUUGUAUCUAAGUGGAAAACGAUGUGGAAAUACGCAGACAACCAGGAUGUUGGCUCAGAAGCAGCCACUCAUUUAAAGAGUGCGUAAUAGCUCACUGGUCGAGAGACCCUGCGCCGAAGAUUCCCGGGGCUAAAGUACGAAACCGAAGCUGUGGCUGUAUACGUAAAGUAUACGGGGUAGGGGAGCGUUCCCAUAGGGUAGAAGUCGAACUGGAAGGUUCGGUGGACUUGUGGGAAGUGAGAAUGUUGGUAUGAGUAGCGAAAAGAAAGGUGAGAAUCCUUUCCACCGAAAGCAUAAGGAUUCCUGAGCAACGAUCGUCGUCUCAGGGUAAGUCGGGACCUAAUCCGAGGCAGAGAGCGUAGGAGAUGGACAACUGGUUGAUAUUCCAGUACCGGUAGUAAUUGUUUGAGCAAUGGAGUGACACAGAAGGGCAGGCAAGCAUGCGAAUGGAAGAGCAUGUGUAAGCGUGUAGGGUGGUGCAUAGGCAAAUCCGUGCACUGAAAGCCUGAGGCGUGAUGCGGAGUGAGCAGAGAUGCGAGCGAAGUUGUUGACCCCACACUGUCGAGAAAAGCUUCUAGUGAGAGAGCUACCGCCCGUACCGUAAACCGACACAGGUAUGCGGGGAGAGAAUCCUAAGGUGCGCGGGAGAACCCUCGUUAAGGAACUCGGCAAAAUGUACCCGUAACUUCGGGAUAAGGGUAGCCACUGUUGUGAAGUCCCAUGCGGAUGGAGCAUAGAGUGGUCGCAGAGAAGAGGCCCAAGCGACUGUUUACCAUAAACACAGGUGCCUGCUAAAGCGAAAGCUGACGUAUAGGUGCUGACACCUGCCCAGUGCCGGAAGGUUAAGGAAGGAUGUUCGGAUUAGUCCAAAGCAUUCGACUGAAGCCCCGGUGAACGGCGGCCGUAACUAUAACGGUCCUAAGGUAGCGAAAUUCCUUGUCGGGUAAGUUCCGACCCGCACGAAAGGUGUAACGAUUUGGGCACUGUCUCAACGAGGGACCCGGUGAAAUUGAAAUACCUGUGAAGAUGCAGGUUACCCGCGACUGGACAGAAAGACCCCAUGGAGCUUUACUGUAACCUGACAUUGGGUUUUGAUACAUUACGUACAGGAUAGGUGGGAGGCAUGGAAAGCUGGACGCUAGUCUGGCUGGAGCCGCCGUUGGGAUACCACCCUUGAUGUAUUGAAAUUCUAACCGCGAGAGUAACGAAAUCCGGGACAGUGUCAGGCGGGCAGUUUGACUGGGGCGGUCGCCUCCGAAAGAGUAACGGAGGCGCCCAAAGGUUCCCUCAGCGCGGCCGGAAAUCGCGCGAAGAGUGUAAAGGCAGAAGGGAGCUUGACUGCGAGUCAAACACGACGAGCAGGUACGAAAGUAGGGCUUAGUGAUCCGGUGGUACCGAGUGGAAGGGCCAUCGCUCAACGGAUAAAAGCUACCCUGGGGAUAACAGGCUAAUCUCUCCCAAGAGUCCAUAUCGACGGGGAGGUUUGGCACCUCGAUGUCGGCUCAUCACAUCCUGGGGCUGAAGUCGGUCCCAAGGGUUGGGCUGUUCGCCCAUUAAAGUGGUACGCGAGCUGGGUUCAGAACGUCGUGAGACAGUUCGGUCCCUAUCCAUCGCGGGCGCAAGAGAUUUGAAGGGGGCUGCUCCUAGUACGAGAGGACCGGAGUGGACGAACCGCUGGUGUACCAAUUAUCCCGCCAGGGGUACAGUUGGGUAGCUACGUUCGGAAAGGAUAAACGCUGAAAGCAUCUAAGCGUGAAACCAGCCUUAAGAUGAGAUCUCUCAUAGAGCAAUCUAGUAAGACACCUUAAAGAAGAUGAGGUUGAUAGGUCGGGAGUGUAAGUACAGCAAUGUAUUGAGCGGACCGAUACUAAUAUGUCGAGGGCUUGACUUA
RNAcentral lists this ribosomal RNA (2302 nucleotides) under human gut metagenome. Its description in RNAcentral is "bacterial LSU rRNA". It matches the Rfam family "Bacterial large subunit ribosomal RNA", at positions 639 to 2925 of the family's 2925-position model. The record is from RNAcentral.